CCAGACCAGACAUUGCAGGCAUUUAUCUUUAGCAGAGCUAAGGGUUAAAUACAAGGGAUUGCAACUGGUCAUAUUUCAACAGAAGCAAGACGUGCAGCACAAAAUGAAGACAUCUGCGUUACUUCUGGUGGUCUUUGUGGCCUUUCUUACCGUAACUGUAGAAAGUGCAGUGACUGAAAGGUUCUCACCAAACAUAGAAGAUGGUGCCAUGUUUCGGAGGCCACUGAAGCGUGUACGUAGAGACUGCUGCUAUAGACCCCCAUACUGGCCAAUUUGUUGCCCUUAUUUUUAGAGAAAUCUUUCAUCCAGUUUGCUUGCACAUCCACGAGUUAUUUGGAUGCAGCUGCUAGCACAUUUUGAAGAGGAACAAUAUGCAGUACUUUGCAAAGACUCAUUUUUCACUAUUACACAGGGAUAUUCCUGGGAACAAGCUUAACUUAAAUUCAUUUGUAUUCAGUCAUAGUUUUCAUCUUUCACUUUACUGCAUUUCACUUUAUUGCAAUACCAUAUGCUAUAUAGCUAUUUCAGAAUAAGGCCAACAUCUUUGGGAUAGUUAGAAAACAAGAAACUAGUUAUACUGUUUUACUUGCUUAAAAAGUAAAAUAAAAUCUAACUGCUUAAAAA
Molecule: long non-coding RNA, 624 nt
Organism: Lingula anatina
Lineage: Eukaryota; Metazoa; Brachiopoda; Lingulata; Lingulida; Lingulidae
Source: RefSeq, a predicted model, not a curated record